Molecule: long non-coding RNA, 939 nt
Filed under: Homo sapiens (human)
Lineage: Eukaryota; Metazoa; Chordata; Mammalia; Primates; Hominidae
Description: non-protein coding lnc-MED15-1:4
Source: RNAcentral
GUAGGCCCGGGGGUUCCCGGCCUGGCCGGGUAGCAGCGCGGGGGCGGCCCUGGGGCGGGGAGACAGGGGGCGGCUCCACUCCGGCGCUCUGCGGAGGACAGCAGCGAUCGCCAAGGCUCAGUGAGUCCCCGCACUAGCGCGGCACCUGGCACUUGGCGGGGCCGAACCAACGAAUGAGCGAAUUUGCCGAGAGUCGCCCCGUCUGAAUCCAUUGACUCUUUCCUUGCCUCGGUCCUACCCUCAUUCCUCGACUCACUUCCUCCUGCCCUUCCUCACUAUCUCCCUCCCCGCUCAUAUCCUCCCUCUCCUUUCCUCAUUCCCUUCUUCACUCUCUUCUCUCCUCUCUUACUCCCCCCCUCUCAUUCCCUCCCUCCUUCACUCUCUCAUUCCUUCCCUUCCUAUCUUACCCACCAUUCCCUUCCUCCCUCACUCAUUCACUCCCUCCCUGUCUCCCCCUCUCAUCCCCUCCCUCUCUCAUUCCCUUUCCCUCCCUCCUUAACUCUCGUUCUCUCCUCCCUCUCUCAUUCCUUCCCUCCCUGUCUCAUUUCCCCCCUUCUUUCCCUCCCUCCCUCUCCUCUUCUCCCAUUGCCUCCCUCCCUCUUUGAUUCCCUUCUUUCCUCCUCUCCUCCACUUGUUCCCUUCGUCACGCGCUCAUUCCCUCCCUCCCGCGGCCUGCUCCUUCCCCGCUCCCUCCGCGGUCGGUGCCGCUGACCGUAGCGCGCCCCCUGCGGGAUAUCGGGGAGAAUCGCUUAACACCGCCAGAGUGAACAGAGGGGUGUCAACCAGGAACCUUGUGAUGCGUGAGGAAAAAAUAUUACCUUUUCCCCCUACUCUUUCUGGCACCCAACAAACAAGUGGGGUGGCAAAGACACCCCACUUGGGACAACUGGCAAAAGGUAAGCAUUCUUACCAAGGUUAACUGUCCCAUAUCACUGCCUG